UGAUAAUUGAAUGUGCUGAAGUUUGGUCCC
This 30-nucleotide non-coding RNA is filed under the name Rattus norvegicus (Norway rat). Lineage: Eukaryota; Metazoa; Chordata; Mammalia; Rodentia; Muridae. The record is from RNAcentral.